This 30-nucleotide non-coding RNA is filed under the name Rattus norvegicus (Norway rat). Lineage: Eukaryota; Metazoa; Chordata; Mammalia; Rodentia; Muridae. The record is from RNAcentral.
UGUGGGAGCUGUUGCCUUUCAGAGGGUAAU